RNAcentral lists this ribosomal RNA (440 nucleotides) under uncultured bacterium. RNAcentral's name for it is "partial 16S ribosomal RNA". It matches the Rfam family "Bacterial small subunit ribosomal RNA", at positions 338 to 795 of the family's 1533-position model. The record is from RNAcentral.
CCUACGGGUGGCAGCAGUAGGGAAUAUUGCACAAUGGGGGAAACCCUGAUGCAGCGACGCCGCGUGAAGGAAGAAGUUUCUCGGUUUGUAAACUUCUAUCAGCAGGGAAGAAAAUGACGGUACCUGACUAAGAAGCCCCGGCUAACUACGUGCCAGCAGCCGCGGUAAUACGUAGGGUGCAAGCGUUAUCCGGAUUUACUGGGGGUAAAGGGAGCGUAGACGGAAGAGCAAGUCUGAUGUGAAAGGCUGGGGCUUAACCCCAGGACUGCAUUGGAAACUGUUUUUCUAGAGUACGGGAGAGGUAAGUGGAAUUCUUGGUGUAGGGGUGAAAUGCGUAGAUAUCAGGAGGAAUACUAGUGGCGAAGGCGGCUUACUGGACGGUAACUGACGCUGAGGCGCGAAAGCGUGGGGAGCAAACAGGAUUAGAUACCCGGGUAGUC